Molecule: long non-coding RNA, 208 nt
Filed under: Capsicum annuum
Lineage: Eukaryota; Viridiplantae; Streptophyta; Magnoliopsida; Solanales; Solanaceae
Description: long non-coding RNA (CANN_LNC006230)
Source: RNAcentral
GGAACGUGAUCCUAAGGGAGGGAAAAUUGUACUAUCUUGGGGAAGAAGUAGUAAUUGAAUCGGCUAAGGUUGAUGGCAAGCCUCAAGAUGGAGAGCAAAAAGAGGUUAAAAUUCAGGGCGAGAAAGAUGUAGAAGAUGUGUGGCCGUGUGAAGGAGAUUGUGAAGUGCCUUUGUAAAAGAGGUGAGGUUAUGAAUUUGUGGGCAAAUU